UUUGUCUAUCCUCGCCUCGCAUUCUUCUGCAGAGAGCGCCCAUCGAGUUUUCCCUCUCACAUUCAUUCGCCCGUUCCCCAUUCCUCUCCAGGGCAGAGCUUCUAGCAGGCGACGGCGAUUAUGGAGAGGGAGAAGGGAAGAGGGGGUAGAGACCCGCUCCGAAACCAGGAUGUUGUGCUCAGUUUGCUUCGUUCAUUGUGAGAUGAACAACGGCAGGAGCUUUGGCAUGUUUUUUCGGGAUGUCAAUGAAA
Molecule: non-coding RNA, 251 nt
Organism: Aegilops tauschii subsp. strangulata
Lineage: Eukaryota; Viridiplantae; Streptophyta; Magnoliopsida; Poales; Poaceae
Source: RefSeq, a predicted model, not a curated record